CCUACGGGGGGCAGCAGUUAGGAAUCUUGCGCAAUGGGCGAAAGCCUGACGCAGCCAUGCCGCGUGAAUGAUGAAGGUCUUAGGAUUGUAAAAUUCUUUCAGCGGGGAAGCGGUACCCGCAGAAGAAGCUCCGGCUAACUUCGUGCCAGCAGCCGCGGUAAUACGAAGGGGGCUAGCGUUGCUCGGAAUUACUGGGCGUAAAGGGCGCGUAGGCGGAUGACUAAGUCGGGGGUGAAAGCCCGGGGCUCAACCCCGGAACUGCCUUCGAUACUGGUCAUCUUGAGUUCGGGAGAGGUGUGUGGAACUCCGAGUGUAGAGGUGAAAUUCGUAGAUAUUCGGAAGAACACCAGUGGCGAAGGCGACACACUGGCCCGAACUGACGCUGAGGCGCGAAAGCGUGGGGAGCAAACAGGAUUAGAUACCCUUGUAGUC
RNAcentral lists this ribosomal RNA (432 nucleotides) under uncultured bacterium. Its description in RNAcentral is "partial 16S ribosomal RNA". It matches the Rfam family "Bacterial small subunit ribosomal RNA", at positions 338 to 795 of the family's 1533-position model. The record is from RNAcentral.